Molecule: long non-coding RNA, 586 nt
Organism: Papaver somniferum (opium poppy)
Lineage: Eukaryota; Viridiplantae; Streptophyta; Magnoliopsida; Ranunculales; Papaveraceae
Exons: 2
Source: RefSeq, a predicted model, not a curated record
GUACAAAUUAAAAAAGAAGAAGAAGAAGAAGUGGUAUCUUUCUGAUCAAUCAUGGCCAAGAUCAGUAUCUUUCUUUGCUCCUUCAUUGUUUUGAUUGUCAUGUCAUCCUUUGCGUCGAAUAUGGGAUCGGCAAAGGUGUGCCCAGUACCCACCUUUCUACAAACAGGUUACCCUAAUGGUGAAGUAUGCGCAAGUCAAUGUCCCGGUUUUUGUAAUCCCAUUUCUAGAGAAGACCCUUCUGUUCCUUCAUUUUUCACUUGCUUUGAGGGCUUUUGCCAGUGUUGCGCUGUUCCACCUAUUGAUGAUUAGAUCCCCUAUUGGGCCUCUUGGGGUUCUUGGUACUUACUACUUGGGAUGCAUCGUAUUGAGUUAUUGUUCACUUGAUUUGAUUUGGCUUGAGCACUGUGGUCCUUGUUGUAUUCAACAUUAUGUAAUUAAUCUAUCAGCGUGUGUUAUUCGUGACAUUUUGUAAUUUUCAUAUGACGCAAUUCUGGGAUGCGUCAUUACAUGAGAUGAAACAUCAUUUUGAGUUUGUAUUGCCUGCUCUACGAUGCGUCAGUAAUUACAAUGAUUGUUUCAUCUUGAA